This is a long non-coding RNA of Electrophorus electricus (electric eel), 1087 nucleotides long. RefSeq lists it as uncharacterized. NCBI's taxonomy places the organism in Eukaryota, Metazoa, Chordata, Actinopteri, Gymnotiformes, Gymnotidae. The record is from RefSeq and is a predicted model, not a curated record.
GCGCCGCGACAGAACAGGGUGCAUUGAAAACAAGCAAAAAAAUGUUUCAUUACAGGUCGAUACAAGCAUCGGAAAUGUACGUCAUCUUCUUUUGCAGAAUACCUUUUUUGUUAUGUGCAUCGGACGAAUAUCUGGCGCUGUUUUGACUCCUUUGUCCAUUUUACCACUUCUUGUUGUUUCCAGAUGGCAAAAAUACCUUCAGGGAACCGAACUACAAAAAUAGGAACACACACCAUAUACGGAGGGUGUAGAACAACGACAGAGAGAUUGUGGAAGUGUGUUCCAGAGUUUGGGGGCGAUGGCAAAUUGAAGUUCAGUUUAAAAAAUCUCUCAGUACUUUGACUAUUCUCCUUCUAUAUCUAAUUCCUAAUGUUUGUGAUACUCUCUUGUAAUUGAUUCAUUGUGAUGCUUUUCUGUAAUGCUUUGUACAGUGACCUUGAGUUUGAUAAAGCCCCUGUAUAAAUUAAACUUAUUAUUUUGCUGGGACUAUGUGGCAGAAAUAACAGCCAGCCACAUCUAUUUUGCAGUUGAUAGCACAGUAAUUGGACAGAUCAACAACAGUGACAAAGCUGUUUAUCGAAAUGAGAUGGCAGAGCUAGAUCAUAACAAUAAAUCUUUUAACACUUUAGGAGAUAAUCAUUUCACACAUACAGAGAGUUGUGAAUCAAAUUAUUAAGUGCUUUCAUUAUUUGCAGUGUUUUUCGUUAUCUUACUUGACACUGAAAUCAUAUGCAGUUUGUAAUGUAUUGCUUGAAAUGCCCCUUAUAUACUUUUGUAUUAUACUGUGGCAUUCACUACUGGACUCGUGGGUGGCCACUGGGAGCGUAGAGGAGCAUGGCGAGGACUCCUAGGAUUCUGUGCACCUCUCUGCAAUCUUAUUUUCAGUUAAAUUUUAUGUUCAUGUUUGUUGUUGGAAAUUGUUGGUUUGCGUGUAUGCAUUAGUUUAAUUAUAAUACUAGAAUUUUGUCUACUGUUUUCAUGAUGUGUUGUGUCUAGUUAUACAUCCCUCAAUUUCUGCAUUAGAUUGAUCUUUUUCCUGUUGGUUAUUGUACAUAUUCAAAUAAACAACAUAUUAAUUUUGAAUGAA